CAGCAGCCGCGGUAAUACAGAGGGUGCAAGCGUUGUUCGGAAUUACUGGGCGUAAAGCGUGCGUAGUCGGUAUUGAGAGUCGCGGGUGAAAUCCCAGGGCUUAACCCUGGAACUGCCUGCGAGACCUCAGUACUAGAGUGUGAGAGGGGAUAGUGGAAUACCCAGUGUAGCGGUGAAAUGCGUAGAGAUUGGGUGGAACACCGGUGGCGAAGCGGCUAUCUGGCUCACAACUGACGAUCAGGCACGAAAGCGUGGGGAGCAAACAGGAUUAGAUACCCUGGUAGUCCACGCCGUAAACUAUGCAUACAAGCUGUAGUGGGAUUUUACUCCUGCUGUGGCGAAGCUAACGCAAUUAGUAUGCCGCCUGGGGAGUACGGUCGCAAGACUAAAACUCAAAUGAAUUGACGG
RNAcentral lists this ribosomal RNA (408 nucleotides) under uncultured rumen bacterium. RNAcentral describes it as "bacterial SSU rRNA". It matches the Rfam family "Bacterial small subunit ribosomal RNA", at positions 509 to 916 of the family's 1533-position model. The record is from RNAcentral.